This 184-nucleotide ribosomal RNA is filed under the name Candidatus Bathyarchaeota archaeon. RNAcentral's name for it is "partial 16S ribosomal RNA". It matches the Rfam family "Archaeal small subunit ribosomal RNA", at positions 467 to 651 of the family's 1478-position model. Lineage: Archaea; Thermoproteati; Candidatus Bathyarchaeota. The record is from RNAcentral.
GCGGUAAUACCAGCCCCCUGAGUGGUAAGGACGAUUAUUUGGCCUAAAGCGUCCGUAGCCUGCUUAGUUAGUCUUUCGUUAAAAUUAACGAUUUAAUCGUUAGGUCGCGUAAGAUACUGCUAGGCUAGAGGAUGGGAGAGGUCGACGGUAGUCCUGGGGUAGGGGUGAAAUCCUAUAAUCCUAG